AUUGAACGCUGGCGGCAUGCUUUACACAUGCAAGUCGAACGGUAACAGGGUGCUUGCACCGCUGACGAGUGGCGAACGGGUGAGUAAUGCGUCGGAACGUGCCGAGUAGUGGGGGAUAACGCAGCGAAAGUUGUGCUAAUACCGCAUACGUAUUGAGGUAGAAAGUGGGGGACCUUCGGGCCUCACGCUAUUCGAGCGGCCGACGUCUGAUUAGCUAGUAGGUGAGGUAAAGGCUCACCUAGGCGACGAUCAGUAGCGGGUCUGAGAGGAUGAUCCGCCACACUGGGACUGAGACACGGCCCAGACUCCUACGGGAGGCAGCAGUGGGGAAUUUUGGACAAUGGGCGAGAGCCUGAUCCAGCCAUGCCGCGUGUCUGAAGAAGGCCUUCGGGUUGUAAAGGACUUUUGUCAGGGAGGAAAUCCCUAGUGCUAAUAACACUGGGGGAUGACAGUACCUGAAGAAUAAGCACCGGCUAACUACGUGCCAGCCGCCGCGGUAA
Molecule: ribosomal RNA, 500 nt
Filed under: uncultured bacterium
Lineage: Bacteria
Description: partial 16S ribosomal RNA
Rfam family: Bacterial small subunit ribosomal RNA
Source: RNAcentral